CUAGAGGACUGCAGCCUCCACCGCCUGAGCUGCACCCGGGUCUCCCAUGGAGCCCAACCCGUGACUCCAGCUCCUCAGCGGGGAGCUCCUCACUUGGCAGGGGGCUGGCUGUGCACAGGUCCUAAGCCGGGUCUGUAGUCCUCAGGGUCUGCACCGCAGGCUGGUCCAGGGUCUGAAGCCAGUUUUGUCUGCAUGUUGGUCUGCCCUCCCAUCUGGGUCCACAGGAGACCCCCUCUGCACACAAGGAGCCCCAAGGGAACGCCCCUCCCUGCCUGUUUCAGCCUGUCAGUCCCCACUGGAGAUGAAACCUCAUGACUCAUGGGAUCUAUUAUAUUAUCAAAGUCUCCUCUGCAGGGUAAACGCCCCUCGCUGGGUGGAGGUUGAAGCCUCUAGCCACCCGGGUGUUGAGCUCAGUUCUCCAGACGGGAGGCCGAGAAGGGUCCCAGGAAAUUAGUGUGGGAAAAGGAGUAGGGGGAAGGGAAGGGCUUUGGGACUCGAGCCUUCUAGCCCCUGGAAGGCUGGGAUGCAUUUAUGUAGCUUGGCAGAGACUUCCCCGAGCCCAAUCAGGCCCUGGAUGCUUGGCAUUCCAUAAAGGCCAGCACAUUCCGGAAAGCAGCUGAGCACAUGAUCAGGGAUCUGGUGGAGCUGCCCCCUGACCUCCCGGUCCGACUGAGCCCUGGGGAGCCAGAUGCCGGCUUGAGCUGCAGUCAUGUUGGGUGGAAACGUGGCUCAGGGCUGCACCUGGUUAGAACAUGCUCCUGGCCUGUCCCUAGUGAGCAGGAAGCUGAAUUUGUCACAAUGCUGCUGGGCCUGGUGAGACGGCCCUGGUGGAGGACCUGCAGCUUCCUGGUACUGCAUGGGGCCAAGGGCUUUUGGUGGAUGAAGCUGCUCCUUUACCAGGGUUUCCAGCACAGACAGAGUAUGUCCUGCUUUUUUCUUCAGAUGGCCACUGGUCCACAUGGCCCUGCCCAGGCCAUGGCAUUUGGGGCAUGCUAUGGCCUCUCACAUACUCAGCAGGAUGGUGUCAACUUGGCUGGGUUACCAGGUGCCCAGAUAUUUGGUCAAACAUUAUUCUGGGUGCAUCUGUGGGUGUUUCUGGGUGAGAUUAACAUUUGUGUCUGUAGACUGAGAAAAGCAUGCGAUCCUCCCCAAUGUAGGUGGGCCUUGCCUAAUCAGUCGCCAGUAUUGCUAAAACAGUGUUGGAGGAAGAGGGAACCUCUUCUGCUUGGCCACCUGGGCCGGGACAUCAGUCUUUUCUGCCCUUGGACUUGAACUGAAAUAUCGUCUCUUCCCAGGUCUUUUCUGACUGGAACCGCACCAUCAGCUCUCCUGGGUCUCCAGCAUGCACACAGGAGCCAACUCCUCUUUCUUUAGAUACACAUCCUCUGGGUUCUGCUUUUCUAGAGACCCCUGAUUCACACUCUCAGUAAUUUCCAUCACUGAGAUUCAUGGCCCUUGGCCUUGCUCCCUGCAGGAACUGGAUAUGAAAAAACAAAAGGGUUCCCCAUGUUCAUGCAUAUCGACAGGCCCAGUUCCUGGGUGUCCCCAGGAACUUCUGCCUCUCCCCGCAGUGGGCACCCGCUUUCCACGGGAGUCUGCUGCAGGUGCAGGCAGGCGGGGAGCACCCCGGGAGGGCACCUCUCUGUGCAUAGCUCAAACCCCACUCUCUGAUAAUGCCUUCUGUUAAUUCAGAGUUUUGAGGAGAAGCCUAAAAUGCUCAGGGGGUUGAAAAAUUUGAGAUGUGUUCAGAUGGAGGUCCAAAGAGUCCUUUCACACUCGUCCUUGGGGGUCUCCAGCGAGCUCAGCAACGUCGCUUCCUGGAGAUGGGGGAAAGAAGAGAAAGAUUGGGGUGGACUCACACGUUUAUUUUCAAGAGGUGCUCACGCACCGUGGGAAAAUGAGCUGAAAGUUCUAGAUAAACCAAUAAAACAACAGAAUCUGUCAUUUUUACCUGUCAGUUGGGGGUGGGGGGGCAGGCACUGCAGCCUUAACACACUCUUUCAAAAGAGGCUCCCUUCCCCAGGCCAACUCAUGCCCACAUUAAAUUCCUGAAAAACUUUCAAAUUUGCAGGUGCAUAAUGCCCCAAGGCUCCAGGUUCUAUGAUCUCAGUGUUAAAACCUGACACAGGGCAACGGUACAUUUACUGGGUGCUUUGGGGACAGGAUGUGAAACUGGGACACUCGGUGGGGUUGGGCCAGGGUCAGACCCAAGUGAGCAGGGCACCCCGCUGUGUGACUGUGGAACUUCAAAGGGAAGGCGGAGGCCCUGCUCUAGGUCAGCCCGGAGAAGAUGGACACGCCCUGUGGGUUUCCAUGGCUCCUGACGCUGCUGUGGCCGGCUGGGGCAGGGCCACCCCUGCAGAAUGGUGUCCUCCUGCCUCCCAGCCGGGGCCUGAGCUCACUCUAGGUGACCGAGGGCGAGGAGGCCUCCUUUCUCUGAACUAGAAUAAGAAGGAAAUAUGACUUGGCUUUGGAGAUUCCCCCCCAGGCUCUUCCCCUAAACACCCACAGUGGUCCCAUUUUGCGUGGCUCACGGUUCCCGGUGGGAGCCCUGUCCCCCUGAAUAGCUUAUGAGAAAUAUGAGCAGAAAAAUCCAGUUCCUAGAAAGCCCGGGGCAGUGCUUCGUGUCUGAGCCGAUGAGAUCAUCCAUCCCAGGAAGCCCCCGGGGCCCUUACUCAACGUGAGUCCACCUCAGUCCCUGGAAGCCACCUGGGCAGCCCCUUGGAGAUAUGGAGUGGGGAGCUUCGUGUGGUUGGCUUAUCCAAGUCCACUGCCUUCCAUGGUCUGACUCGGAAAAAGGAGACGUUAAUGGGGCAGCGUGGGUGGGGAUGGGCCAGCGGCAAAAGCCACGGCUCCUGGAAACUCGUGGUGAAACCUCGCUCUUGGCCCGGCCCAUCUGCUCCACCAGAAGCUCCAGGGUGGGGUCCAGCGGUCGGGGCUCAACGCGCCUCCCAGCUGGUUCGGGUGCACGAAGACUCCUAGGAGCCGAGGACACGGCCGCGGGUUCAGGGUGAGAACUGCCACUUACUGGGGCUCGCUCCACCCAGAAUGCUCCCCGCUGGUCUUUGCC
This 3070-nucleotide long non-coding RNA is filed under the name Marmota monax (woodchuck). The record is from RNAcentral. Lineage: Eukaryota; Metazoa; Chordata; Mammalia; Rodentia; Sciuridae.